Molecule: ribosomal RNA, 253 nt
Filed under: uncultured bacterium
Lineage: Bacteria
Description: partial 16S ribosomal RNA
Rfam family: Bacterial small subunit ribosomal RNA
Source: RNAcentral
UACGGAGGGUGCGAGCGUUAAUCGGAAUCACUGGGCGUAAAGCGCACGUAGGCGGUGUCGUAAGUCGGAUGUGAAAGCCCUCGGCUCAACCGGGGAACUGCAUUCGAUACUGCGAUGCUUGAGUGCCGGAGAGGGUGGCGGAAUUCCAGGUGUAGGAGUGAAAUCCGUAGAUAUCUGGAGGAACACCGGUGGCGAAGGCGGCCACCUGGCCGGCAACUGACGCUGAGGUGCGAAAGCGUGGGGAUCAAACAGG